This is a non-coding RNA of Cordylochernes scorpioides, 73 nucleotides long. The record is from the annotation of a GenBank genome assembly. Lineage: Eukaryota; Metazoa; Arthropoda; Arachnida; Pseudoscorpiones; Chernetidae.
UCCAGGGUAGCCUAGUGGACAUGGCAUCUGCCCGGUAAGCGGAAGGUCGUGGGUUCGAUUCCCGCCCCUGGGC